This 5228-nucleotide ribosomal RNA is filed under the name Triticum aestivum (bread wheat). RNAcentral's name for it is "partial small subunit ribosomal RNA". The record is from RNAcentral. Lineage: Eukaryota; Viridiplantae; Streptophyta; Magnoliopsida; Poales; Poaceae.
GGCCCCGGCCCCGGCCCCAACCGCCCGUCGUGAUACGGCCCCUGCCUUCCCCCUUCUCCGGGGUGGCCACUUGGUGGGAUGGAGAGGAGGAGGGAGGGGGAGGUAAUAAGAUAACGACAAAAAAUUAGAGAAGAGUGGCAGCAGGCCACCUCGUUUACCUUUACCUGUUCGUCUCAGCGGAAUCUUUAGAGCGUUGGACUAAUUGCGCGAGCCGAGCCGAGCCUAGAAAAAGAAAAACACGUCAAGGCGGCCGAGGGAUUAAUUCUAAGGGGAAAGAGAGGGGGAGGAGGAGGAGAGAGAGGAGGUGGAGGGGCGCCGCGCCGCGCCGCGUUACUAAAGGCCGGGGGACGACGAGGCCAUGGCCGGCCCUCAUGUGAUCGGUCGUCCUCUCGUCCUCCGCCUCGAGGGUGGUUUAGACGAGGCGCAGUGGACGGCACGCGGGCACGGCGAGGAUCCGCCGGCAUAGCUGUCCUCCUAGCUAAAGCCGGAGCCGGCCCCCAGCAGCCGCGCCGCGCCGCCCUACAAGUUCGAGGUGGCGGUGGCGAGGAGCCUGGCCUCGCAGCCGCUCGCGAAGCUCAAGUCCAAGAGGUCGAAGGCGCGGCAGUACCAGGGACGUCAUAGCCUGUCCUACAAGGAAAGCUAUCAGAGACACCUAUGGCCCUUUUGGUAGCGGUUUAGGUCAUUUCGCCGACGGGCGUCACCUUAGACGGUUACCGGGCUAAGGUAUAGCCUUGGCUAUACCAAAAGAGCUCUGCGUCACAGUUUUCUCAAGCUACUCACGGUUAUGUUCUAACAACAAAGACACCCUAGUUAUUCUUGACCAUAAGAACCGCUUUAAAAGGAUUUGGACAGGUUGAAAGACUUAAACCGCCUGGGUUGACGGUAGAGAUACGGCAACUUCUCUACGUUGAGACCUUGUCAAAACGUCGAAUUCCAAGUUAGAGAACCGUGUUUCGGAUUCAACCCACCACACUCUAGAAGUUCCCUGUACGGAGGAGCAUAGUCACUGGUAACAGAUUAUUUACUGCUGUACCUAUUGUUUAGUCUACCGAGACUAUUAUGCCGGUUGUCCUCACAGGCAAGACGCAGUCCUUGAGGAAAUCCCCCGUGAAUAGUUCUACUUGGACCUUUGUCCCUUUACUCAAAGAGUCGUAGUCCCAGAGUGGCCUCAAGGUUAAGACCUCUAUCAUGGGUUCUAUCUUGUUUAAACAGAGGCUAUCUGUUGUGAUUACCACCUAACAUACAGCCUUCCGUCCUAAGUCCAUCAAGGAUACAGUCGCGACCGGCACCACUACUUCCUAACUCUAGUUUGUUAAGUAGAAAGUCAAGGGCCCGAAGUCCAGGUUUGUACGACGUUCCUUUAUGAGGGUUUAGGAAAAGUUUACCCUAACGAGUCAGUAGUAACCCCUGUUGACUAAGUAGAUUUCUAGAAGAACUUCGACGACUUCUUUGUUAACUUCUUGAGGCACUACUCCGUUUUUACACCCUUGCUGUAAGAGCGUUUAACUUCCGACUAGAUCUCCGCGACUUCUCCCUUACAAGACUCUUUAGUUUCGUUGUCUGACUCGAUCGUGAACUUGACAGACGACGUGUACGACUCGCCCUAAGAAUGUCCGUGCUUUAACUUCUUAACUUCAGUAGUGCCGUUCUCAGUAGAGCCGUUCUCAGCAAAGCCGGUCUCAAUUCGUCUGCCGUUUAUUUUAGACAUUGGGGGUUUGCACCCCUGACCUAGUUGUACCUCUUCCUUCAUCUUCUGCUCUACUUCAAAGACUUUCUUAGUUUACGUUCGAAUGUCCAUGUCGACUUCUCGUGAGUUCUCCGUUUAUAUCUCGAACAAAGAUAAGAAGUCCUUGACCUUCUCUGGUAUCUUCUUGUUUCUCGCCUCUAUAGAUUUUAAAGACUCCGGUUCCUACAGUGAUUAUGUCUACAUAACUUCUUACCCAACAAUCAGUUUCUUCUCUGUCUUACCCGAUCCUUUGACAGUUACUUUCUUCUACUUUAGUUAUGAAACUCCGUCUUUGAUCUAGCGGAAGAGUCAUAACUUUUACGUCCACGGCGUCCAAGACUAUGGCAAAUAGAACUUAACCUCUUUCUUUUACUUUGAGAUUCCCAUUUUUAUGUUCUUGAACUCUUUCUAACAAGACUUGAUUGUCUACUUUUAGACCUCGAAUAUAUAUUCGACUUUCUUUCGCCACACCCUUUUCCCGUCCUAAGAGUACAAAGUUUGUUGUCACUUAACGUUUAACUUUUCGAAUGUAGUGUUUAUAUAGUUGACCUUCUCCUUGAAUCUCUGUUCCUUUACUACGUACUGCCGUCAAAAUGGCUCAGUAGUCACAGAUUACGGUUUCUCAAUGUCUCCUUCACACGACUGGAACUCGACUUCGACGAUGCAAAAUCCAGAGUUCCGAAACUCGAUCUUCUCUUCAAGGCUUUUUCGGUUCUUCUUGAUCUUGUUUUUUUAGAACUCAAUAGAUUCGACUCUCUCCUCGAACUUCCGAACCUUCCACCACUUUGACCACCACGCUCUCCUAUGGUUAAAUCUCUUCUAGAUCUCCUAUUACUUAGACUCUGUCUAUAUGACUUCUGGUCUCAGGUCGAUGUUGUCGUCCUUUUACUACUGAACGCCGCGAGGUUUCAGCUUUGCCUUUUAAACUACAGACUUUAAGUCCGUCUCUUCUCAGACAAUCUCCUUGCGAACCGUCGUAGUCAAUUUCUUUCAUCGUAGUGAAGGUUUACGAACCUACUUAACGUUGUUCUGUAAAACCACGAAAGAUCGUCGUAUCUAAGGGUACACAGACGAUUAUUCCAAGAACUUUCUUUCUAUUUACUUGAGCUCUCGACGUUUCGUCUUGAUCUCAAUGUAUAUAGUCUCGAACUUGUCCUUUUAUAUCUCAACAGUCUUGCGUAUAGACCUGACCUUCGGGUUAAUAGAAUGUAAUGUUUACUUUUCCUCAGUUCACUCGACGUCUACGUGCUGAGUUUUAGGGAACAGUAGUCAGAGUUUCUAUUUCAUCUCGCUGUUGUUCACCUCUACCUAUGAGUUUCCCAACUCAAAUCUGUUUUUGUCGUUCUUUGUGUUUCUUUUGACAGCCUUCGUGUCCUGCUAAGUCUUCAAGACUCUUCUAGAUUAAGAUUAGACGUUAGAUGUCAACUCUUGGAAUAACUUCUCACGUCAAGGGAAGUUUUAGACUGACGUCUAGAGUUCUCCGUCUUCAACCUUAACGUACCGGCAAAAUACGUUGUUCUCGUCCUUAACCUAUUGAGCUUUUUUUCCUAGGAACUAAAAACAUUUUGUCACCUCAAGGAUCUUAGUUUCGAAAGAAGAGAAGUCUUCCUGUAUAGAACGUUUCUCGUUAGUAACGACAGUCUUGACCUCUCAUAUAAGGUCCUCGUGUGUCUCGUUCUUCUUUUCUAUUUAGCACGAGUAAAGUACAAUUUAUUCUAGCUCUUUCUUUUCUGAGAACUUCAUCUCUUAGAACUCUCCCUCCAGCACUCGGAGUGACGUGUCCAGAGGAGGUGUGUGCUCCUCUCUCUUUUACGGUGUCAUCUACGGUAAUCCCUCCAGAGACAGGACGCUCGACUUUUCCGGUUUGAACUCCGAUUAAAGCUUUUACAGUCACGUGUCAACUCUGUAAUACUCAGAGUUGAACUCCUGGAAGCGUUCCUCAGAUUUUGGUUCUAAUUUCCAAACCAACUAAGGGAAUUACGUAGGUUUGUCUCGCUCCUUUACAACUGUCGUCUACGACUUGUAUACUUCUUCAACUACCUCCGACGAUUUAGGUUACUUCUACUCAAUGCCUUCAGAAGACCACUUGAUCUCAAUUUCGAAUUUCGGUCACUGAUACUCUCUGUCGUUUACUACCUUCUUUAUAGACUGGACUUUGAAGUCCAGGUCUUUUAUUGUUCAGAAGUUCUACUUCAAAGGUUUGAAUCUUCGAGGGAACUGCUCCGAUACAAACUUUUCCCUUUUAACUUCCGCGACGAUCUCAGACACUGACUCCUUACACUUCUUGACUUCCGUGUCUUUCGCUACGAUUGUCUAUUUCAAAGACUCUACGUUCUCUGAAACCUGUUACCACUUCUUCUUUUUGCUUCGUCUUAUAGAUACGUUCGUUUCGAACACUCUAACCUCUCACUAGCUAGUCGUAGCCUUCGUAGUGUACAUGUACUUCGUCUCAAUUUCUUGCUUGAAUCAUCCUAGUCUUCUAGUUUAUCGCUUAUGGUCUCCUUCUAUGUUAGGGAACUCGUCCUUUAACUCCUAGAGUGAUCUUUCGUCCUCUAACCUCUAAGAUGUCUAGAAGUCAGCUUCUAAGUUUAUGACCUUUGAUUCGAACGUCUCCGAAACCUCCUUUUAUUCUACAUGUCCCGAGUUGUUUUCUCAGGGCAACGGCUCCUCGUUAGACGACCACCCCUGUCCUAAAACGUCGACCUUCCUCUAGAUUCUCUAUACUUCCUCGCCAAUGAGUUAUACUCGAACCUCAUGCGUCUUCAUCUCCGGGUCGCCCUCGCUAAUCACUACCUCGACUUUAGACAGUUCUUUCCCCCCGCUACCAAGAUUGUACUACCUCUGGAACGGACGGUAUUUGUAUUCUGACUGUUGUGUCUACUGGGCAGUAGUUAGUCGCAGUACAGACGCAGUACUGUUAUGUUCGGUACUGUUAUCCUGACUACAGUCUAAUAGUACUACACUCUUGUUCGUUUACGUCUUGGUGUCCAGUACACGGCGUGAGUGAUCAACCAUGGCCACCUAACGCUCAGACUGAUAAUGGGCCUUCUUUUCUUUUCCAGUGGAGGUUCUCUACUCUACCAAAGAGACUUCUCCGUUUAUAACGCUCAGACUGGUAAAGGACCUUCUUUUUCGGUGGAGUGGACAUUCGGAGUGAUACUAUUAAGGCUAAAUUGGUUAACUAAUACACUACGGUACACAAAGAAGUAGGUCAUAUGGACAAAGAGUCAACUGGCCCUCCCACUUGCAAUAAACAAGUAUACCAAUGAGUCUAGUGGGUGGUAAAUGUACCCAUAAAUGUACUAAUGUACGUUUCAGGUGAAAUUGACAACUAUUUACAACAAGAAGCAGAACAAACACCUUGGUUGUACCUUCUCAAAUUCGAUCAUCAUGUUAUCGAUAUGAGAAUGUAAUAACAUUAAGUUAAACAUUUUAUACUUCCCCAGUUGACGAAUUAAUAAAAAUAAAAGUAGCGUUUAGCCUUUUAAUGAAUAACGAAAAC